AGAGUUUGAUCAUGGCUCAGAUUGAACGCUGGCGGCAGGCCUAAUACAUGCAAGUCGAACGGUAACAGUAGAAAAGCUUGCUUUUCUAGCUGACGAGUGGCGGACGGGUGAGUAACAUUUGGGAAACUACCUGAUAGAGGGGGACAACAGUUGGAAACGACUGCUAAUACCGCAUAAAGCCUGAGGGUGAAAGCAGCAAUGCGCUAUCAGAUGUGCCCAAACGGGAUUAGCUAGUAGGUGAGGUAAAGGCUCACCUAGGCGACGAUCUCUAGCUGGUCUGAGAGGAUGAUCAGCCACAUUGGGACUGAGACACGGCCCAGACUCCUACGGGAGGCAGCAGUAGGGAAUAUUGCACAAUGGGGGGAACCCUGAUGCAGCCAUGCCGCGUGUGUGAAGAAGGCCUUCGGGUUGUAAAGCACUUUCGGAGGGGAGGAAAAUGACGUUACCCUCAGAAGAAGCACCGGCUAACUCCGUGCCAGCAGCCGCGGUAAUACGGAGGGUGCAAGCGUUAAUCGGAAUAACUGGGCGUAAAGGGCAUGCAGGCGGUUGUAUAAGUAGGGUGUGAAAUCCCCGGGCUCAACCUGGGAACUGCAUUCUAAACUGUACAACUAGAGUAUUGCAGGGGGGGACGGAAUUUCAGGUGUAGCGGUGGAAUGCGUAGAUAUCUGGAAGAACACCAAAGGCGAAGGCAGUCUCCUGGGCAAAUACUGACGCUCAUAUGCGAAAGCGUGGGUAGCAAACAGGAUUAGAUACCCUGGUAGUCCACGCCGUAAACGAUGUCAAUUAGGAGCUUGUGCUAAAGUAUGGGUUCCGCAGCUAACGCAAUAAAUUGACCACCUGGGGAGUACGGCCGCAAGGUUAAAACUCAAAUGAAUUGACGGGGGCCCGCACAAGCGGAGGAGCAUGUGGUUUAAUUCGAUGAUACGCGAGGAACCUUACCUGGACUCAAAUGUUGACUGGCCGUUCCAGAAAUGGGACUUUCCCUCGGGACAGUCAGCAAGGUGCUGCAUGGUUGUCGUCAGCUCGUGCCGUGAGGUGUCAGGUUAAGUCCUAUAACGAGCGCAACCCCUACGUCCAGUUGCCAGCGGGUGAUGCCGGGGACUCUGGAGGGACUGCCGGCGCAAGCCGAGAGGAAGGUGGGGAUGACGUCAAAUCAGCACGGCCCUUACGUCCAGGGCGACACACGUGCUACAAUGGCCGGUACAGAGGGCAGCCACCUGGCGACAGGGAGCGAAUCUCGAAAGCCGGUCUCAGUUCGGAUCGGAGUCUGCAACUCGACUCCGUGAGGUUGGAUUCGCUAGUAAUCGCGCAUCAGCCAUGGCGCGGUGAAUACGUUCCCGGGCCUUGUACACACCGCCCGUCAACCCAUGAAAGUCCGGGGUACCUGAAGUCCGUGACCGCGAGGAGCGGCCUAGGGUAAAACGGGUGAUUGGGGCUAAGUCGUAACAAGGUAACCGUA
Molecule: ribosomal RNA, 1459 nt
Filed under: uncultured rumen bacterium
Lineage: Bacteria
Description: partial 16S ribosomal RNA
Rfam family: Bacterial small subunit ribosomal RNA
Source: RNAcentral